RNAcentral lists this ribosomal RNA (1372 nucleotides) under uncultured bacterium. RNAcentral describes it as "bacterial SSU rRNA". It matches the Rfam family "Bacterial small subunit ribosomal RNA", at positions 28 to 1381 of the family's 1533-position model. The record is from RNAcentral.
GAUGAACGCUGGCGGCGUGCCUAAUACAUGCAAGUCGAGCGAACGGACGAGAAGCUUGCUUCUCUGAUGUUAGCGGCGGACGGGUGAGUAACACGUGGAUAACCUACCUAUAAGACUGGGAUAACUUCGGGAAACCGGAGCUAAUACCGGAUAAUAUUUUGAACCGCAUGGUUCAAAAGUGAAAGACGGUCUUGCUGUCACUUAUAGAUGGAUCCGCGCUGCAUUAGCUAGUUGGUAAGGUAACGGCUUACCAAGGCAACGAUGCAUAGCCGACCUGAGAGGGUGAUCGGCCACACUGGAACUGAGACACGGUCCAGACUCCUACGGGAGGCAGCAGUAGGGAAUCUUCCGCAAUGGGCGAAAGCCUGACGGAGCAACGCCGCGUGAGUGAUGAAGGUCUUCGGAUCGUAAAACUCUGUUAUUAGGGAAGAACAUAUGUGUAAGUAACUGUGCACAUCUUGACGGUACCUAAUCAGAAAGCCACGGCUAACUACGUGCCAGCAGCCGCGGUAAUACGUAGGUGGCAAGCGUUAUCCGGAAUUAUUGGGCGUAAAGCGCGCGUAGGCGGUUUUUUAAGUCUGAUGUGAAAGCCCACGGCUCAACCGUGGAGGGUCAUUGGAAACUGGAAAACUUGAGUGCAGAAGAGGAAAGUGGAAUUCCAUGUGUAGCGGUGAAAUGCGCAGAGAUAUGGAGGAACACCAGUGGCGAAGGCGACUUUCUGGUCUGUAACUGACGCUGAUGUGCGAAAGCGUGGGGAUCAAACAGGAUUAGAUACCCUGGUAGUCCACGCCGUAAACGAUGAGUGCUAAGUGUUAGGGGGUUUCCGCCCCUUAGUGCUGCAGCUAACGCAUUAAGCACUCCGCCUGGGGAGUACGACCGCAAGGUUGAAACUCAAAGGAAUUGACGGGGACCCGCACAAGCGGUGGAGCAUGUGGUUUAAUUCGAAGCAACGCGAAGAACCUUACCAAAUCUUGACAUCCUUUGACAACUCUAGAGAUAGAGCUUUCCCCUUCGGGGGACAAAGUGACAGGUGGUGCAUGGUUGUCGUCAGCUCGUGUCGUGAGAUGUUGGGUUAAGUCCCGCAACGAGCGCAACCCUUAAGCUUAGUUGCCAUCAUUAAGUUGGGCACUCUAAGUUGACUGCCGGUGACAAACCGGAGGAAGGAGGGGAUGACGUCAAAUCAUCAUGCCCCUUAUGAUUUGGGCUACACACGUGCUACAAUGGACAAUACAAAGGGCAGCGAAACCGCGAGGUCAAGCAAAUCCCAUAAAGUUGUUCUCAGUUCGGAUUGUAGUCUGCAACUCGACUACAUGAAGCUGGAAUCGCUAGUAAUCGUAGAUCAGCAUGCUACGGUGAAUACGUUCCCGGGUCU